Molecule: ribosomal RNA, 652 nt
Filed under: uncultured bacterium
Lineage: Bacteria
Description: bacterial SSU rRNA
Rfam family: Bacterial small subunit ribosomal RNA (bases 1-540)
Source: RNAcentral
CCUACGGGAGGCAGCAGUAGGGAAUAUUGGGCAAUGGAGGAAACUCUGACCCAGCCAUGCCGCGUGCAGGAUGACGGCCCUCUGGGUUGUAAACUGCUUUUAUACGGGAAGAAAAAAUGCUACGUGUAGCACAUUGACGGUACCGUAAGAAUAAGGAUCGGCUAACUCCGUGCCAGCAGCCGCGGUAAUACGGAGGAUCCAAGCGUUGUCCGGAUUUAUUGGGUUUAAAGGGUGCGUAGGCGGAUCUUUAAGUCAGUGGUGAAAGCCUGCAGCUCAACUGUAGAACAGCCAUUGAAACUGAAGAUCUUGAAUAUGGUUAAAGUAGGCGGAAUGUAUCAUGUAGCGGUGAAAUGCUUAGAUAUGAUACAGAACACCGAUAGCGAAGGCAGCUUGCUGAACCAUUAUUGACGCUGAGGCACGAAAGCGUGGGGAGCAAACAGGAUUAGAUACCCUGGUAGUCCACGCCCUAAACGUUGAUUACUCGUUGUUGGCGAUAUACUNUCAGCGACGUACGACGUAACGUACGUUAAGUUAAGUACCGACCGUACGGUAACGGUAACGUACCGACGAAGGUUAGUUAAACGUUAACGUAAGUUAGUUAGUUAGUACGGACGUUGAGACGUUAGCCGACGGACGACGACGAGGGAGGAGG